Molecule: ribosomal RNA, 253 nt
Filed under: uncultured bacterium
Lineage: Bacteria
Description: partial 16S ribosomal RNA
Rfam family: Bacterial small subunit ribosomal RNA
Source: RNAcentral
UACGUAGGGGGCAAGCGUUGUCCGGAUUUAUUGGGCGUAAAGAGCUCGUAGGCGGCUUGUUACGUCGUUCGUGAAAACUUGGGGCUCAACUCCAAGCUUGCGGUCGAUACGGGCAGGCUAGAGUUCGGUAGGGGAGACUGGAAUUCCUGGUGUAGCGGUGAAAUGCGCAGAUAUCAGGAGGAACACCGGUGGCGAAGGCGGGUCUCUGGGCCGAUACUGACGCUGAGACGCGAAAGCGUGGGGAGCGAACAGG